This 305-nucleotide unclassified non-coding RNA is filed under the name Hevea brasiliensis (rubber tree). Lineage: Eukaryota; Viridiplantae; Streptophyta; Magnoliopsida; Malpighiales; Euphorbiaceae. The record is from RNAcentral.
GUUGAUGUGAUUUUCUAUAUAUAAUUGGUGUGCGUUUAGUUCUUUAAAUUCUGGGAAUGUGCUUUUUCUUGUCAAAUUUUGACAUUUUUAGCUUCUUGAUGAUUUAUAGCCUUUCUGGUGUUCUUGUAAACGCAUGCCAUAGUUCUUUUAAUGCCUUUUACUGUCUUUGAUGUGCGUAUACUUUGUUUUAGUUCUAGUGGAACCUUGAAUCAGUAUCUCUAUUCGUUUGUUUAUAUUUUCUCUUAAUUCUUUUGAUUGAUAAUUUGUUGAACGUAAUUUGUGUUUAGGAUGUUUUAAGAUGUCAA